AUUUAUGUUUUGAUAGUCUUCCUUAUGAGUUGUAACGACCGAACCUGAUAAGAUUCGAGUCUCUGUGCUCACUUGCUAGUUCCUGGAUGAAUAGCUAGCACACACAGUACAAGAUGUAAUAUCAAAAUAAACCACAUGUCAUAAUAUUACAUCGCAGAUCCAGAAUUAAAUAUUACAUACAUGCGUAGCUCAAGGCUAGUAUACAAACAAAAUUCAGCGAAAAAGCAAAUACACCAUGAAGUCCAUCAAAACCACAAGCAAAUGUCGAGUAGAACCCUACAUCGUAUCACUCACUCGUCGUAUAAAAUCUGCAACAUGAAACAUUGCAGCCAUGAAGGGUCAAUACUUUGAAUGUAUUGGCAAGUCACACACGGAAUGAUAUAACAGACCUACAUCUACAUGCAAGGUAUAUCAAGAGGAUAAUGUAGUGGUUGUUUUUUUGCAGAAAAGCUAAUUUUUUCAUGAUAGCUACAUAAUAGUCAAAUUUUAAUUAUGUCUUGCUACAAUUAAAUACAUAUGGUUGAAUUGGGCACUCCAAUUCCAACCUAUAUCCAUCAUUAAGUUUCCCACUCAAUUUUUAUUAAGGUAUCAUAUGUCAAGAUCAUCCAACAACUGUAAUGGUCUAGCUGCUCAAAUUUGUCCAUAACCGGGGACACGACUAAUCAUGAUUAGUUUUUACACUCUGCAGAGGUUUGUACACUUUACCCACUGGACUCAACCCGGAGAUUGAGACAAAGUCUUUCAGAAGCAGUCGCCUAGUCCCACAGGAGAGGCCCAUCCCAACUAUCGUAUCUACAUCUGCUGGCACAUCCGGGUAAGGUUUUCGCAACUGAUCAACUCAGCCAGAGCCCAUAUUAGCCAGUGGCUGUACAUGGAAGCUACUAGUCACUAAGUCUGUCUGAUCUUUUUGAGCCUGGAUGGCACCCACUUACAUUCAGAGGGUAUAAACCAUGAUGCUCUUGAAACCACCUAACAAUACAAUUCGGGCGCACUUAGCCAUGGUCCGUGUCCUUAGAAAAGGAACAAGAAAUUCCAUGAUGCAACCCUGUCCGUCCAGAGGUGAAUUAUGUAUUAUGUUUUUACUCGAGUUAUAUUAUAUAUAGACCUCACAUAAUCUCGAUGAAUACACGAACCAAUCCUCGUCUACAUAGCAUAGCAAGAAUACACUACCACGUUCUACAAUAAGGCCAUACUAACUACAUCUCAAUAGUAGUAACAUGCUGCCAUAAUAUUCCUACACAUGCAUAAUAUGGUAUUGUGAUAUAGAACUACAUGCAUAAAAAAUAAUAGGAUGAAGGAUGAUCAAGGUGUAACUUGCCUGGUACGUUUGAUGAAGUUCGCCACACUCACAAUUCCUGACAAUUCUACUCGUCACGCUCCGAGUAAUCUAUCGCAAUGAAAUAAUUCAAAUCAAUAACCAUGCCAUACAGAAGAAUCAAAAGAACAACAAAACAAAUAUGGCAAGGUUAAACAAAAUCAAUAUAGUUGGGCUUAAUAUAUAAUAUAGGUCUCGAUGUGCUAUAAGGAGACAAGUGAAGUAGUUAACUCCAAAGAGUCAAUUGAUAUAGAAAGAUUCCUAUAUAGGAUUAUACUUGAGAUAAUAUGGAAUAUGCUCAAAAUUAUAUGGAAAACAACAAAAUGUUGUUAGACAGAAAGCAUAUGACAUAGGUGUUCAUUUGCAAAAAGAAAGAAUUGAAUAGGAGUACUACAACUCAAAUUAUAGUGAGAUAAAAUCUGAAUUGAAUUUAAAUUCAGACAGGUCAAAAGUAUUUGAAAAUUUGAGUAUACAGAAUAUUAUCAACAAGUACUUGAUACAAGUUUUCAGACACAAAAAGAAUCAAUUGAAAAGGUGUCACGGUUCUCUCGAUAUGAUCACAUGAAGGUAUUAGUUCAAAUUUGAAUUGCUCAAAUUUAAAAUAGUUCGAAAGGUGAAAACAAUGGUGUCAACGGAAAGAUGGUCUCACGAGGAUCACUCUGCAAAAAAUUUCAUCUCAAUCGGAGCUACGGUUGAAGAGAUAUGAUAGACUGAAGUUAUAGGGGCCUAUUUGUAAAAAUGCAAAGUAUAAUUCAGUAGGAAAAGAAAUUAAAACAAAACUCUGGGACACGCGGCGAAACAUGAUUGAUUGAUACCCCUUCGGGGCUAAGGGCUGUGUGGAUCAUUAGAUUAAGUCGUGAUCAACGACCGAUGUUCUUUUGGAGGUAGGGUUUGAGAGGUGGGGAAUUGCUCACCAGAAAGUUCGCCGGACUUAAUGCAGAUGGCGGCGGACGGCUGGGGCGUUGGCGAUGGGGUGACUCCGGUGGGGAGGUUUCCUGAGAUCAGCGAGGGCUGGACGAUGUGAAGAGAAACGAGGAGAUCUUGGGAGUGUCGUUGGGAGCGUCGGAUGACCACUCUGGCAACGGUGAGGUGUGGCUGGAGCUCCAAUGGCGAGCGCGAGCUUCUGGUGGAGCUGUGCAACUCGAUCCGGUGUGCCCCUGGACAAAUAGGAGGGCAAGGAGGCUUCGUAGUGAGCAAUUAGGAAGAAAGGGGUGGUCGGGCGGACUCGGGACCUUCGUAUGGCAUCGGAAUCAUCCGGCGAUGCUUCGGUGGCCGAGGAACUACGGCGAGAUCGAGCGCUCGCAAUCGGGGCCCGUUCUGUGAGGUGACGAUGGGAAUCGAACGAGAUGGAUCCAGGGGAUCUCCCAAUGGCUUCGGAUUGGAGAAACGGCUUGGGGUCAGG
Molecule: long non-coding RNA, 2717 nt
Filed under: Triticum aestivum (bread wheat)
Lineage: Eukaryota; Viridiplantae; Streptophyta; Magnoliopsida; Poales; Poaceae
Description: long non-coding RNA (TAES_LNC013303)
Source: RNAcentral